CCUACGGGAGGCAGCAGUGAGGAAUAUUGGUCAAUGGACGAGAGUCUGAACCAGCCAAGUAGCGUGAAGGAUGACUGCCCUAUGGGUUGUAAACUUCUUUUAUAUGGGAAUAAAAUGUUCCACGUGUGGGAUUUUGUAUGUACCAUAUGAAUAAGGAUCGGCUAACUCCGUGCCAGCAGCCGCGGUAAUACGGAGGAUCCGAGCGUUAUCCGGAUUUAUUGGGUUUAAAGGGAGCGUAGGUGGAUUGUUAAGUCAGUUGUGAAAGUUUGCGGCUCAACCGUAAAAUUGCAGUUGAUACUGGCAGUCUUGAGUACAGUAGAGGUGGGCGGAAUUCGUGGUGUAGCGGUGAAAUGCUUAGAUAUCACGAAGAACUCCGAUUGCGAAGGCAGUUCACUAGACUGCAACUGACACUGAUGCUCGAAAGUGUGGGUAUCAAACAGGAUUAGAUACCCCAGUAGUC
This 460-nucleotide ribosomal RNA is filed under the name uncultured bacterium. RNAcentral's name for it is "partial 16S ribosomal RNA". It matches the Rfam family "Bacterial small subunit ribosomal RNA", at positions 338 to 795 of the family's 1533-position model. The record is from RNAcentral.